CCUACGGGAGGCAGCAGUGGGGAAUUUUGCGCAAUGACCGAAAGGUUGACGCAGCAACGCCGCGUGUAUGAUGAAGGCUUUCGGGUCGUAAAGUACUUUCAGUGGGGAAGAACUGCAUAAUCAGUAACUGGGUUAUGAUUGACGGUACCCACAGAAGCAGCCCCGGCUAACUCCGUGCCAGCAGCCGCGGUAAUACGGAGGGGGCAAGCGUUGUUCGGAGUCACUGGGCGUAAAGAGCUCGUAGGCGGCAGUGUAAGUCGGGAGUUAAAGGCAACAGCUCAACUGUUGUAAGGCUUCUGAAACUACAUUGCUAGAGUGCCAGAGAGGUAUGCGGAAUUCCCUGUGUAGCGGUGAAAUGCGUAGAUAUAGGGAGGAACACCGGUUGCGAAAGCGGCAUACUGGCUGGUAACUGACGCUGAGGAGCGAAAGCGUGGGUAGCAAACA
RNAcentral lists this ribosomal RNA (444 nucleotides) under uncultured Deferribacteres bacterium. Its description in RNAcentral is "bacterial SSU rRNA". It matches the Rfam family "Bacterial small subunit ribosomal RNA", at positions 338 to 774 of the family's 1533-position model. Lineage: Bacteria; Pseudomonadati; Deferribacterota; Deferribacteres. The record is from RNAcentral.